GUGAGGAAUAUUGGUCAAUGGGCGGGAGCCUGAACCAGCCAAGUCGCGUGAAGGAAGAAGGAUCUAUGGUUCGUAAACUUCUUUUGCAGGGGAAUAAAGUGCAGGACGUGUCCUGUUUUGUAUGUACCCUGAGAAUAAGGAUCGGCUAACUCCGUGCCAGCAGCCGCGGUAAUACGGAGGAUCCGAGCGUUAUCCGGAUUUAUUGGGUUUAAAGGGUGCGUAGGUGGUUUGAUAAGUCAGCGGUGAAAGUUUGCAGCUUAACCGUAAAAAUGCCGUUGAAACUGUCGGACUUGAGUGUAAAUGAGGUAGGCGGAAUGCGUGGUGUAGCGGUGAAAUGCAUAGAUAUCACGCAGAACUCCGAUUGCGAAGGCAGCUUACUAAGCUACAACUGACACUGAAGCACGAAAGCGUGGGGAUCAAACAGGAUUAGAUACCCGAGUAGUCC
RNAcentral lists this ribosomal RNA (445 nucleotides) under uncultured bacterium. Its description in RNAcentral is "partial 16S ribosomal RNA". It matches the Rfam family "Bacterial small subunit ribosomal RNA", at positions 354 to 796 of the family's 1533-position model. The record is from RNAcentral.